RNAcentral lists this ribosomal RNA (448 nucleotides) under uncultured bacterium. RNAcentral describes it as "bacterial SSU rRNA". It matches the Rfam family "Bacterial small subunit ribosomal RNA", at positions 331 to 795 of the family's 1533-position model. The record is from RNAcentral.
CCAGACUCCUACGGGAGGCAGCAGUGGGGGAUAUUGCACAAUGGGGGGAACCCUGAUGCAGCGACGCCGCGUGGGUGAAGAAGUGUUUCGGUAUGUAAAGCCCUAUCGGCAGGGAAGAAAUUGGACGGUACCUGACUAAGAAGCCCCGGCUAACUACGUGCCAGCAGCCGCGGGAAUACGUAGGGGGCAAGCGUUAUCCGGAUUCACUGGGUGUAAAGGGAGCGUAGACGGCCAUGCAAGCCUGGAGUGAAAGCCCGGGGCCCAACCCCGGGACUGCUCUGGGAACUGUGCGGCUGGAGUGCGGGAGGGGCAGGCGGAAUUCCUGGUGUAGCGGUGAAAUGCGUAGAUAUCAGGAGGAACACCGGCGGCGAAGGCGGCCUGCUGGACCGCGACUGACGUUGAGGCUCGAAAGCGUGGGGAGCAAACAGGAUUAGAUACCCCAGUAUCC